ACGCUCGACACCUACGGGAGACAGCAGUGGGGAAUAUUGCACAAUGGGGGAAACCCUGAUGCAGCGACGCCGCGCGAGCGAAGAAGUAUUUCGGUAUGUAAAGCUCUAUCAGCAGGGAAGAAGAAAGACGGUACCUGACUAAGAAGCCCCGGCUAACUACGUGCCGGCAGCCGCGGUAAUCUGAGCGGGCUGGCAAGGC
RNAcentral lists this ribosomal RNA (199 nucleotides) under uncultured bacterium. RNAcentral's name for it is "partial 16S ribosomal RNA". It matches the Rfam family "Bacterial small subunit ribosomal RNA", at positions 328 to 539 of the family's 1533-position model. The record is from RNAcentral.